Long non-coding RNA from Haliotis rubra (blacklip abalone), 1054 nucleotides. RefSeq lists it as uncharacterized. The record is from RefSeq and is a predicted model, not a curated record. Lineage: Eukaryota; Metazoa; Mollusca; Gastropoda; Lepetellida; Haliotidae. The transcript is spliced from 5 exons.
CAUAGCAAUGAAUAAUUCACCCGGGCACCAUGUGUGAGAGAGGUUAAAUUACAGUGUCUUUUCACGGGGAUAUUUAAUGUAUGAUACUUAUGUAUGUCAUAAUAGUUAUUUUAUGGUCGUGAUCUCAUAACCAUGCAUCAUGUGUUAACCAUUUUAUAGAUAUUUUUCAGUGGAGGUUGGAUUAUGUUGUGUUAGUGUUCGACAUGUGUUUACUCUAACAUAGGGAUUUCCACCGAAACACAGUGUACCUUCUCAAAUCAUACAAUGUGUGUUAUCUGUGUAAUAUAUCUGGGACGUUACUUUAGGCAUUUCAUUACACGGCCUUAGAAGAAUGGACACAAACUGACACCAGGAAGGAAGACGAUGUCACUACCAUCGCAUGACUUUUUUCAGCUAUUUGUGGAAAUGUCUGAGAGUACCACGCAACAUUCAUUCUGAAGCUUCUCGGACCUGAAGCACCAAAAUGGAGUUUGUCCUUGUGUUUAGGGGAGUAUUAUUCCUGUGUUUUGUGCAUUUGAUUUUGUCUUUAAAUGGUUCAAGUCCAGUGUCGUUCAGCAGAGAAAUGAUUACGACAUUGGCGACUUCAUCCUUAUCGGAUCCUAUGUCUGAAGGAGCUUCGCCUCAACAUGACGUAACCAGUCAAAGGAUGUCGGUAACCCAAUCAGUAAUGCCAACAAGCACCCUCUCUACUGACACGAACACUGUCAACUGUGUCAACAAGCUCCCUCUUAACUACCAUGAGACACACCAGUGAUAUGUCAAGUGUGCAAUCAUCUCAAACUGCAGCGUCCUUUACGACCGUGACAUCAACGAGUGGACCUACUACUCACUCGACUGGGAAACACACCAGUGAAACGUAAAGUGUGCAAUCUUCUCACGAUACAGCGUCCUUUACGACCACUAAAUCUACGCCUGGACUAACCACUCAGUCGUCAGGGAGUAAUCGAACACAGCGGCCCACGAAAGCAAUUUUAACAACAAGAUGGGUGGUUUCACUUGCGGUGCCGUGUGCAGUGAGUUGUGUUGUUUUUGCAAUCAUCACAAUUCUUUGCAG